Molecule: non-coding RNA, 135 nt
Organism: Triticum aestivum (bread wheat)
Lineage: Eukaryota; Viridiplantae; Streptophyta; Magnoliopsida; Poales; Poaceae
Source: Rfam
AAGGUACUCCCUCCGUCCGGAAAUACUUGUCAUCAAAAUGAAUAAAAGGGGAUGUAUCUAGAUAUAUUUUAGUUCUAAAUGCAUCCCUUUUUGUCCAUUUUGAUGACAAGUAUUUUUGGACGGAGGGAGUAACUA